UCCUGAUCAAGGUUUUACUGAAUUGAAACACAAUGACACUUAACUCCUCCUUAUUCAGAGGGGUCAAUUCUAUCUUGACUCACACAUCGACUUUGUAAGUACUUGACUGUGUCUAAAAAUCUUUCAUCAAUGUGUUAGAAAUUUAAAUAGUUCAGUACCAAAGCACAAUGAGUUACUUACAAGUCAUUGUGAUAAUCUCA
This 200-nucleotide long non-coding RNA is filed under the name Elaeis guineensis (African oil palm). RNAcentral's name for it is "long non-coding RNA (EGUI_LNC012459)". The record is from RNAcentral. Lineage: Eukaryota; Viridiplantae; Streptophyta; Magnoliopsida; Arecales; Arecaceae.